RNAcentral lists this ribosomal RNA (479 nucleotides) under uncultured organism. RNAcentral's name for it is "partial 16S ribosomal RNA". It matches the Rfam family "Bacterial small subunit ribosomal RNA", at positions 330 to 801 of the family's 1533-position model. The record is from RNAcentral.
CGUACACUCCUGCGGGAGGCAGCAGUAGGGAAUCUUCCACAAUGGGUGCAAACCUGAUGGAGCAAUGCCGCGUGAGUGAAGAAGGUCUUCGGAUCGUAAAGCUCUGUUGUUAGAGAAGAACACGUGCUAGGUAACUACUAGCGCCUUGACGGUAUCUAACCAGAAAGUCACGGCUAACUACGUGCCAGCAGCCGCGGUAAUACGUAGGUGACAAGCGUUGUCCGGAUUUAUUGGGCGUAAAGGGAGCGCAGGCGGUCUGUUUAGUCUAAUGUGAAAGCCCACGGCUUAACCGUGGAACGGCAUUGGAAACUGACAGACUUGAAUGUAGAAGAGGAAAAUGGAAUUCCAAGUGUAGCGGUGGAAUGCGUAGAUAUUUGGAGGAACACCAGUGGCGAAGGCGAUUUUCUGGUCUAACAUUGACGCUGAGGCUCGAAAGCGUGGGGAGCGAACAGGAUUAGAAACCCCAGUAGUCCCAUGAU